UUAAUAUCUUAUUACUGAAAGGAUUGCCAGUGUAUUAGCGAUUCAAGUUCCAGCUUUGGCAGUGUAGUCUGGAAUGUUUGAAAUUAACAAGAUGAACUCCUAUCAACUACUCCAAGGUUUUCUGAAACAGUCAUAAUAAUUCAAGUUCAUAUUCUGGAAGGAUGUUGACCAACGAACCUUGUAGUAAUGAGGUCAGAGAUGCUGCAAUGCAUAAUCAGUUAUCUGCUUGUAACUCAAGGAAUUAUACUGCAACAUUUCCUCCAGUGCAGGCAAACUCGAAUGAUG
This is a long non-coding RNA of Triticum aestivum (bread wheat), 285 nucleotides long. RefSeq lists it as uncharacterized. The transcript has 3 exons. NCBI's taxonomy places the organism in Eukaryota, Viridiplantae, Streptophyta, Magnoliopsida, Poales, Poaceae. The record is from RefSeq and is a predicted model, not a curated record.